AUACGUAGGGCGCAAGCGUUGUCCGGAAUUAUUGGGCGUAAAGAGCUUGUAGGUGGCUUGUCGCGUCUGCCGUGAAAACCCGAGGCUCAACCUCGGGUGUGCGGUGUGUACGGGCAGGCUAGAGUGUGGUAGGGGAGACUGGAACUCCUGGUGUAGCGGUGAAAUGCGCAGAUAUCAGGAAGAACACCGAUGGCGAAGGCAGGUCUCUGGGCCAUUACUGACACUGAGAAGCGAAAGCAUGGGUAGCGAACAGGAUUAGAUACCCUGGUAGUCCAUGCCGUAAACGUUGGGCACUAGGUGUGGGGGACAUUCCACGUUUUCCGCGCCGUAGCUAACGCAUUAAGUGCCCCGCCUGGGGAGUACGGCCGCAAGGCUAAA
Molecule: ribosomal RNA, 378 nt
Filed under: uncultured bacterium
Lineage: Bacteria
Description: bacterial SSU rRNA
Rfam family: Bacterial small subunit ribosomal RNA
Source: RNAcentral